GCUAGCUACAGGCUUAACACAUGCAAGUCGAGGGGCAGCAUUUCAGUUUGCUUGCAAACUGGAGAUGGCGACCGGCGCACGGGUGAGUAACACGUAUCCAACCUGCCGAUAACUCGGGGAUAGCCUUUCGAAAGAAAGAUUAAUACCCGAUGGUAUAAUCAGACCGCAUGGUCUUGUUAUUAAAGAAUUUCGGUUAUCGAUGGGGAUGCGUUCCAUUAGGCAGUUGGUGAGGUAACGGCUCACCAAACCUUCGAUGGAUAGGGGUUCUGAGAGGAAGGUCCCCCACAUUGGAACUGAGACACGGUCCGAACUCCUACGGGAGGCAGCAGUGAGGAAUAUUGGUCAAUGGGCGCAGGCCUGAACCAGCCAAGUAGCGUGAAGGAUGACUGCCCUAUGGGUUGUAAACUUCUUUUAUAUGGGAAUAAAGUUUUCCACGUGUGGAAUUUUGUAUGUACCAUAUGAAUAAGGAUCGGCUAACUCCGUGCCAGCAGCCGCGGUAAUACGGAGGAUCCGAGCGUUAUCCGGAUUUAUUGGGUUUAAAGGGAGCGUAGGUGGACAGUUAAGUCAGUGUGAAAAGUUGCGGGCUCAACCGUAAAAUUGCAGUUGAUACUGGCUGUCUUGAGUGCAGUAGAGGUGGGCGGAAUUCGUGGUGUAGCGGUGAAAUGCUUAGAUAUCACGAAGAACUCCGAUUGCGAAGGCAGCUCACUGGACUGCAACUGACACUGAUGCUCGAAAGUGUGGGUAUCAAACAGGAUUAGAUACCCUGGUAGUCCACACAGUAAACGAUGAAUACUCGCUGUUUGCGAUAUACAGUAAGCGGCCAAGCGAAAGCAUUAAGUAUUCCACCUGGGGAGUACGCCGGCAACGGUGAAACUCAAAGGAAUUGACGGGGGCCCGCACAAGCGGAGGAACAUGUGGUUUAAUUCGAUGAUACGCGAGGAACCUUACCCGGGCUUAAAUUGCAUUUGAAUAUAUUGGAAACAGUAUAGCCGUAAGGCAAAUGUGAAGGUGCUGCAUGGUUGUCGUCAGCUCGUGCCGUGAGGUGUCGGCUUAAGUGCCAUAACGAGCGCAACCCUUAUCUUUAGUUACUAACAGGUCAUGCUGAGGACUCUAGAGAGACUGCCGUCGUAAGAUGUGAGGAAGGUGGGGAUGACGUCAAAUCAGCACGGCCCUUACGUCCGGGGCUACACACGUGUUACAAUGGGGGGUACAGAAGGCAGCUACCUGGUGACAGGAUGCUAAUCCCAAAAGCCUCUCUCAGUUCGGAUCGAAGUCUGCAACCCGACUUCGUGAAGCUGGAUUCGCUAGUAAUCGCGCAUCAGCCAUGGCGCGGUGAAUACGUUCCCGGGCCUUGUACACACCGCCCGUCAAGCCAUGAAAGCCGGGGGUACCUGAAGUACGUAACCGCAAGGAGCGUCCUAGGGUAAAACUGGUAAUUGG
Molecule: ribosomal RNA, 1440 nt
Filed under: uncultured organism
Description: SSU rRNA
Rfam family: Bacterial small subunit ribosomal RNA
Source: RNAcentral